AUUUUAUUAGUAUAUACCACAGUACAUCUAAUUUCCAAUUAGAAAGUUUUUUUAAAAAUAAAAUA
This 65-nucleotide transfer RNA is filed under the name Ornithodoros turicata. Its description in RNAcentral is "tRNA-Gly". The record is from RNAcentral. Lineage: Eukaryota; Metazoa; Arthropoda; Arachnida; Ixodida; Argasidae.